Molecule: ribosomal RNA, 501 nt
Filed under: uncultured bacterium
Lineage: Bacteria
Description: partial 16S ribosomal RNA
Rfam family: Bacterial small subunit ribosomal RNA
Source: RNAcentral
AUUGAACGCUGGCGGCAGGCUUAACACAUGCAAGUCGAGCGGAGAUGAGGUGCUUGCACCUUAUCUUAGCGGCGGACGGGUGAGUAAUGCUUAGGAAUCUGCCUAUUAGUGGGGGACAACAUUCCGAAAGGAAUGCUAAUACCGCAUACGUCCUACGGGAGAAAGCAGGGGAUCUUCGGACCUUGCGCUAAUAGAUGAGCCUAAGUCGGAUUAGCUAGUUGGUGGGGUAAAGGCCUACCAAGGCGACGAGCUGUAGCGGGUCUGAGAGGAUGAUCCGCGACACUGGGACUGAGACACGGCCCAGACUCCUACGGGAGGCAGCAGUGGGGAAUAUUGGACAAUGGGGGGAACCCUGAUCCAGCCAUGCCGCGUGUGUGAAGAAGGCCUUAUGGUUGUAAAGCACUUUAAGCGAGGAGGAGGCUACUGAGACUAAUACUCUUGGAUAGUGGACGUUACUCGCAGAAUAAGCACCGGCUAACUCUGUGCCAGCAGCCGCGGUAA